ACUCCUACGGGAGGCAGCAGUGAGGAAUAUUGCGCAAUGGAGGCAACUCUGACGCAGCCAUGCCGCGUGCAGGAAGAAGGCGCUACGCGUUGUAAACUGCUUUUAUCCGGGAAGAAACCCCAGGACGUGUCCUGGGUUGACGGUACCGGAGGAAUAAGCACCGGCUAACUUCGUGCCAGCAGCCGCGGUAAUACGAAGGGUGCAAGCGUUAUCCGGAUUCAUUGGGUUUAAAGGGUGCGUAGGCGGNGCGUUAAGUCAGUGGUGAAAUCCUGCAGCUCAACUGUAGACUUGCCAUUGAUACUGNCGNUCUUGAGUGCGCUUGAAGUGGGCGGAAUGUGCCGUGUAGCGGUGAAAUGCUUAGAUAUGGCACAGAACACCNAUUGCGAAGGCAGCUCACUAAGGCGAUACUGACGCUGAGGCACGAAAGCGUGGGGAUCGAACAGGAUUAGAUACCCUGGUAGUC
Molecule: ribosomal RNA, 463 nt
Filed under: uncultured bacterium
Lineage: Bacteria
Description: bacterial SSU rRNA
Rfam family: Bacterial small subunit ribosomal RNA
Source: RNAcentral